This 74-nucleotide transfer RNA is filed under the name Camelus ferus (Wild Bactrian camel). It matches the Rfam family "tRNA". Rfam says of the family: Transfer RNA (tRNA) molecules are approximately 80 nucleotides in length. Their secondary structure includes four short double-helical elements and three loops (D, anti-codon, and T loops). Lineage: Eukaryota; Metazoa; Chordata; Mammalia; Artiodactyla; Camelidae. The record is from Rfam by way of RNAcentral.
AAGGGUAUAGCUCAAAGUGGCAGAGCUCAUGCAUAGCAUGCAUGAGGUCCUGGGUUAAAUUUCCAAUACCUUCU